UACGAAGGGGGCUAGCGUUGCUCGGAAUCACUGGGCGUAAAGCGCACGUAGGCGGAUUGCUAAGUCAGGGGUGAAAUCCUGGAGCUCAACUCCAGAACUGCCUUUGAUACUGGCGACCUUGAGUCCGGGAGAGGUGAGUGGAACUGCGAGUGUAGAGGUGAAAUUCGUAGAUAUUCGCAAGAACACCAGUGGCGAAGGCGGCUCACUGGCCCGGUACUGACGCUGGGGUGCGAAAGCGUGGGGAGCAAACAGG
RNAcentral lists this ribosomal RNA (253 nucleotides) under uncultured bacterium. Its description in RNAcentral is "partial 16S ribosomal RNA". It matches the Rfam family "Bacterial small subunit ribosomal RNA", at positions 524 to 776 of the family's 1533-position model. The record is from RNAcentral.